GACUCUCGGCAACGGAUAUCUCGGCUCUCGCAUCGAUGAAGAACGUAGCGAAAUGCGAUACUUGGUGUGAAUUGCAGAAUCCCGUGAAUCAUCGAGUCUUUGAACGCAAGUUGCGCCCGAAGCCUUUUGGCCGAGGGCACGUCUGCCUGGGUGUCACGC
This 159-nucleotide ribosomal RNA is filed under the name Viola arvensis. Its description in RNAcentral is "5.8S ribosomal RNA". It matches the Rfam family "5.8S ribosomal RNA". From Rfam's summary of the family: 5.8S ribosomal RNA (5.8S rRNA) is a component of the large subunit of the eukaryotic ribosome. It is transcribed by RNA polymerase I as part of the 45S precursor that also contains 18S and 28S rRNA. RNAcentral also lists the same sequence under 1 other name. Lineage: Eukaryota; Viridiplantae; Streptophyta; Magnoliopsida; Malpighiales; Violaceae. The record is from RNAcentral.